This 1284-nucleotide ribosomal RNA is filed under the name Triticum aestivum (bread wheat). RNAcentral describes it as "partial small subunit ribosomal RNA". The record is from RNAcentral. Lineage: Eukaryota; Viridiplantae; Streptophyta; Magnoliopsida; Poales; Poaceae.
AUGGCGGCGUCCCAGAGCUCACUAACGACGACUUCGACCUGUGCCGCGGAGACUGCACACGGGACGCACUUGUUUAGAAUCACCGGGUACAGCCUGUACAGUGGCAUCGGCGUCGGCGAGCGCAUCAAGUCCGCUACCUUGGCUGUCGGCGGCUACGAAUGGCGACUCAGCUAUUACCCCGACGGUAACAAUGAGGAAUACAAAGACUGGCUGUCGGUUUUCCUCGAUCUCAAGACCGAGGACGCCGAGGUCAGGGCCUUCUUCGAUCUGAGGCUUGUCGACCAGGCCACACAGCAGGCGCCGCCGCCUUUUACAGUGCCAAACCCUAGCGAGAUAACCUUGUUUGACUCUGAUGCUCCGUCCUGGGGUUAUCGCCAACUCAGGAAGAAGAGGAAGCUCAAAAAGUAUAUCCUGGACGACGCCCUUCUCAUCGAGUGCAGUCUUACUGUGAUCAACUUCAAGGAGGCACUGGCGGCGGAGACGAUGAUGAAAUAUGAGGACCAAGUUCCGCGGUCAGACUUGCUGGAUAAUCUUCGUAAUUUACUAGAGACACAAGAGGUAGCUGAUGUGUCCUUCAACGUCAACGGGGAGGUUUUCCUCGCACAUAAGGUCAUCCUCGCAAUGCGGUCGCCGGUAUUCAAGGCAGAGUUCUACGGGCCGAUGAGCAACGAGUGUAAGCGGAGUCUAACCAUUGAAGAUAUGCAGCCUCCUGUUUUCAAAGCAUUGCUCCAAUUCAUCUACACGGAUUCGCUGCCCCCAAUGGAUGAACUCAAUGAUGAGGAGUAUGAAGAGAUGGUUAAGCAUCUGCUUGUUGCUGCAGACAGAUAUGCCAUGGAAAGGAUGAAGCUCAUGUGUGAGAGCAAACUUUGCGAUCAAAGUUUUAAAUAGCGCGCUAAGCAUCUUAGCGCCGGACCUCUUUCAAAUGCUAUAGCGUGCUAUAGCGGAGCUAUAGCGCGCUAUUUAAAAUGUUUGUUCAUUUGUUUGGACCAAAGUCUCUUAGCGCAAGACCUUUUGUAAACGCUAUAGCGUGCUAUAGCGGAGCUAUAGCGGGCUAUUUGAAACAGUGUUUGCGAUAUUCUUCUUGCCGAGAAUGUGACCACCAGAUUAGCCCUAGCCGACCAGCAUCAUUGCAGCAUGCUCAAAGAUGCUUGCAUUGAGUUCAUUAGCUCUUCAAAUAGAAUGGCUGAUGUGGUGGCAAGCAAAGGGUAUGAGCGCCUGAAAAGGACAUGCCCUACUACGUGUGCAGAUAUAUUGGAGAAAGCAGCGAAGGCGCGCAAAAUUUAG